AUUUGUCCCAAAAUACAGUGCUGGGGUCAGGGGAUAGUGGAGGGAAGGGUGUUAACAUUUAAGUCAUCAGUUCUUAUUAAUCUCUCACAGGCAUGUCUGUCCUACAAAUGCUUAGGAGAAAAGUGAAAUGCCCCUGUAGUGAGCACUAGGGACUGUCUAACUUGGGAGCCCUCAACUAUCAAAGUCUCCCUCUAGCCACCUUGUUCCUGCUGGCUUCUCGCCCACCACACCACCAAUUCCUCCCAUCACUUUGAAGUCGGAAGCCACAGGACAGAAAGCUCUCACUCACCAAUGCCAUGCCCGAGUCUAUCUGAAACAAUGUCUCAUCAAGAAUUCAGGGCUCUUCCUUGGACUUGCUGAGAGUCUCCCCGCUCUGAAGGGGAGAGGGGCCUGAGAAAGCCCACCAUUGGCUUAACUUUAGUGCAUUGUCCAGAAUCAGUAAGAUGUGGUUUAGCAAUGACCGCGUCUAAAUGAGGUUUUAGGUAACUGGAUGAUUGCGGAAUUCAACCACACAAGGAAAUGCUGUACUCCAAAAUUUACCUCCCAAUAAAAAUUCAGCCGAAGUAGUAAGAAGACCCUAAAGAUAAAAAUGGUUAAGGACCAGCCUGAGAAAACUUGCAUGUCUGAAUAAAGCAAGGACCAACUAUGAACUCAACAGACGCAAGAGUUGAUGCUAACUCCCCUUGUGUGGUCUCAAAUGCAUGACUGUUCAGUGUGUUUAUAAAAGCAAAUGGAGUUGGAAUUUCACUCAAUUAAUUGAGUACUAGCAACCUUUUUAAAAAUUUUCCCCUUGUGUAUUUUGAAUCCAAGGAAGAAGGUACAAGAUGGAAAGUAAAGGAAUAGCAUGAUGGGGGUCUACCUAUCCUCCAGUAAUAUUCCUUGCUGAUGC
RNAcentral lists this long non-coding RNA (889 nucleotides) under Bos taurus (domestic cattle). Its description in RNAcentral is "long non-coding RNA NONBTAT013576". Lineage: Eukaryota; Metazoa; Chordata; Mammalia; Artiodactyla; Bovidae. The record is from RNAcentral.